AUCUUCCCAGACCGGGGCACGAACACGUGUCCCCUGCAUCGGCAGGCGUACUCUUAAACACUGUGCCACCAGGGAAGCCCCUGUGGCACUCUUUUAAGACCUGCAUCCCGUUGGAUGAGUCUCAGUCCUCCUAAGACUUUUACAGUAGCUUGCAGAGCAGGUGUAGUCGGUCUCUCACAAGCAGAUAUGUGGCCUGUGGUGGGCUCAGUGUUUAACAGCCAGAUGGCCUCUAAUAGUCUUGGAGAUCAUCCCCUUAAAGACCCAUCUGGAGAAAACUUCAAUGUCUCUUUCAGUAACCCAUUCAUUCUUAAUACCAACCCUGCAGCUCUGGGGUUAUACGACAGAUGAAAGGUUCAUAAAAUCUCGCAGGGUUUAGCCCGUUCUUGUAUGUCAUGUCCAGUGAAAUGGGUCCCUUGGUUGCUUUCAACGCAAGUGGGUAGUACUUUCCACUCUAAUACUUUCCAACUUGGUCAAACCCCUAAUAGUGGUUACUUGAUUUGCCCUUUUACUGGCAAAAGUCUGUGUCAGCCCAAUUGCUGGGUCCACACAGGUCAAUGCAUUCUUGUGUCCUUCUGUUAAGGGCAGGGGCCAAUAUCGUCCACUUGCCAUCUGGUCACUGGCCUAGUAGCUCAUCCGAUAUGACCAAAGGUGUGUCUCAGGGGUUGACACUGCAGGUACAAUGAUGGAAGUUCCUAUCUACUGCCUGUAGGUCACUGUAUUUUAAAGGCAGGUGUAACCUUUUGGCUUCCCAAGUGGUACUGAGGCCUCGAUGUCCUGACUUCCCAUGAAGCCACUGCCACAUCUGAGAGUCUGUGACCCUUCCAGAACAGCUGUCACCAUGGCUAAGGCAUCUGAUUCGUGAUUCUCAGGCAGUGUAGUUAGAGAAUGUGCUGAGACAUACCAUAUCAUGAUGGUGGUACCAGGUUGUGUGCACACGUCCCAGUUUGUCUGUAUCAGUUCACCACAGGGGCCAUCUCAAGAUAGUCAAGCUUUUCUGAUGCCAUUGUGGCAUCCAUGGUCAGACCCUCCUGUACAGCCCAGCUGUCUGUGGCUAUGUAGAGGGGCAUAGACUUGUGAGUGAUCACAAUCCUUACCACCCUCAGUUCAUCCAUGAUUGCUGUGCUUAGUACCUUCUUCAAACCAAGUGAUGUCAGAAUCCAGGAAAACUGUUGAAGCAUGUCUAGUGAGGGUAUUGCCUCAACUGCUGCCAUUGGUGAACCAUGGCUCCAGAGGGAGGCAUGGGGUCCUGGUUCCCUCUCUGACUUGGCUGAGAGGGGGAGUGAUGGGUGAUGUCUAAGGAGCCACGUCCGGAUCUACAUAAGACACUGGCCCAUGGAGGGCAUGUAAUUCUUCAGACAGCAGGCUUGAGUUGUACACACUACGUUGUUGCAGGAAAAACUGGAAUGAACCCAAAUGUCCAUCAACUGGUGAAUGUGAAAAUUAUGGUAUAUCCAUAAUAUGUAAUAUGGCCAUAAUAUGUAAUAAUGCAAUGUACUACUGACCAGUAAAUAUGAAUGGACUGAUGAUGAUACAGCCUGCAACAGGAUGAAUCUCAAAAUAAUCACAAUUACAACUGCUAUUUCUAUUCAAGCUGGUUGACUAACUCCCCACUCCCACCACUUCACAGAAUCCUAUUGAAAUAGCAGCAACUAAGAACAAAGGGGAACACAGUGUUACAAAUACUGCAGGGAUGGAGAGACAUGACUAGCAUACAGGAUAUUCACUUCACAAGCAGUUUUGGAAGAAAAGUCACAGAUGAGCUCAUUUUGCUUUAAAAACCACAGUGUUCUGUCUUGUUCAGCCACCUCUGGUUUAAACACUACCUUGGAAACCACGACUGUCAGUGAAGCUUCCCUAUGUAUGAGGCAAGCUUGUGAUGGAGGGGAACAAAGCAGGGAAGGUAUCUCUCAGAACUGGAUUUGGUGUAAUGUUGAUGUUUAAAAAUCCCUCUUCCCCUUCUAAUCUGUUAUGAUUACUUAGAAUUUCAGUAGCAACACUGAGAGAAAUAUACACUUUCCAUAGUGAAGUUUAUCCAAAGAGAUGUGAUGUAACUCUGAAUUUUGAGGUGGGCCCGAAAAUUCCAACAUACCGGGGUAUGUACUUUAUAUUAUUCCCUCCCCUAGAGUAUGGGUAGGACUGUGAAUAUAAUGGAUUUCAUGACUGUGAUUAUGUUUCAAAGGUGAAGGGAUUUUAAAAAUGUAAUUAAAAUCUGAAAUGAGAGGACUUUGAGUUAAUGAAAAGGGAGAUUAUCCUCACUGGGUCUGAUCUAACUAGGUGAGCUCUUAAAAGGAGUUGAGUCCUUCCUGAAGAGAGAGAUUUGAAGCAGCAGAGAUGAUUUUCUGUUGGCCUGUAAGAAACAAACUAUAGAAUUAUGGAGAAGACCCUGUGGCAAGGAAUAGCAGGCAGUCCUGUAACCUCAAGGAACUAAAUUCUACCAACUGCCAGGGAGCUAGGAAGAGGACUUGAGACUCAGAUAAGAUAAUAGCUCUGGCUGACACCUUGAUUUUAGCCCAGUCAGAUCCUGAAGUGAGGACCUAGUUAAUGUGUGUAGACUCCUGACUCAUGACAACUGAGAUCAUAAAUUUUGUUAUGUUUUUCUAAACUGUUAGAUUAUAGUAAUUUGCUAUGCAGGUAUAGAAAAUUAACACAAGAAGUAGAAAACAUCAUACAGCAUUGCUAUUACAUGAAAGCUAAUAAAGUCAAGUUUCUUUCAUAUUUCCUUUAAAUGACAAAUUACUUAUCAAGAAUAUUUUCUGUACUUUGAAAUCUUUGUGACAGCCUGCAUAGGGUGUUGUUUUCUAGUUUUGUGCAUUGAAAUUAUGAUAUAAUAUGUAACAUGCUCUGAUAUUUUGAAAGGUUUUAUUCUAAGGAUAUCUAUCAACUGAGUUAUCAGUGAAGUUAUUCUUGCAAAUAGAUUGUUUGGAGUAACAAAAGGACUAUUUGGCUUGAGUUAUGAGAUGUGGAUAGUGGGUAAAUGUGUGAUUUGGAGAAUAUCUCUAUGCCUCUGUGUCUCCAUUAGUUAAGUGACUGUACUAAGGAAGACAUUUACAACCCCUUUAUUUAAACAGCUUUAUUGAAGUAUAAUUGACACACAACAAAUUAUACAUCUAUUAAGUGUAAGUUUGAUAACUUUUUACAUACACCCAUACCAAGAUGUUGAAUAGAUCCAACACACUAAAAGUUUCCUAAUGCUCUUUUGGAAUCCCUCUUUACUACCCCACUUCAGGACCCCCAUCCUCUAAAUCCUCAGGCAAUGACUGAUUUGCUUUUGUCACUAUAGGUUAAUUAAUAAUUAUUUUUAUUGAGAUAGAAUUGUACAAUAUUAUAUGUUUCAGGUAUAUACUCCAUUUAUAAUUAUUAUAAAAUAUCGGCUAU
This is a long non-coding RNA of Aethalodelphis obliquidens (Pacific white-sided dolphin), 3375 nucleotides long. RefSeq lists it as uncharacterized. Lineage: Eukaryota; Metazoa; Chordata; Mammalia; Artiodactyla; Delphinidae. The transcript is spliced from 4 exons. The record is from RefSeq and is a predicted model, not a curated record.